RNAcentral lists this ribosomal RNA (159 nucleotides) under Hyphoderma macaronesicum. Its description in RNAcentral is "5.8S ribosomal RNA". It matches the Rfam family "5.8S ribosomal RNA". From Rfam's summary of the family: 5.8S ribosomal RNA (5.8S rRNA) is a component of the large subunit of the eukaryotic ribosome. It is transcribed by RNA polymerase I as part of the 45S precursor that also contains 18S and 28S rRNA. The record is from RNAcentral. Lineage: Eukaryota; Fungi; Basidiomycota; Agaricomycetes; Polyporales; Hyphodermataceae.
CAACUUUCAGCAACGGAUCUCUUGGCUCUCGCAUCGAUGAAGAACGCAGCGAAAUGCGAUAAGUAAUGUGAAUUGCAGAAUUCAGUGAAUCAUCGAAUCUUUGAACGCACCUUGCGCUCCUUGGUAUUCCGAGGAGCAUGCCUGUUUGAGUGUCAUGUA